RNAcentral lists this ribosomal RNA (480 nucleotides) under uncultured bacterium. RNAcentral describes it as "bacterial SSU rRNA". It matches the Rfam family "Bacterial small subunit ribosomal RNA", at positions 32 to 507 of the family's 1533-position model. The record is from RNAcentral.
AACGCUAGCGGGAGGCUUAACACAUGCAAGUCGAGGGGCAGCACGGGUAGCAAUACCUGGUGGCGACCGGCGCAAGGGUGCGUAACGCGUGAGCAACAUGCCCUAUACAGGGGGAUAAUCCAGGGAAACUUGGUCUAAUAUCCCAUAGUAUUUAGAGGAGGCAUCUUCUAUAAAUUAAAGCUUCGGUGGUAUAGGAUUGGCUCGCGUGACAUUAGCUAGAUGGUGAGGUAACGGCUCACCAUGGCAAUGAUGUCUAGGGGUUCUGAGAGGAAGGCCCCCCACACUGGGACUGAGACACGGCCCAGACUCCUACGGGAGGCAGCAGUGAGGAAUAUUGGACAAUGGAUGGAAAUCUGAUCCAGCCAUGCCGCGUGCAGGAAGACAGCCCUAUGGGUUGUAAACUGCUUUUAUAUGGGAGCAAUAAGGUCUACGUGUAGACUGAUGAGAGUACCAUAUGAAUAAGCAUCGGCUAACUCCGUG